RNAcentral lists this long non-coding RNA (1571 nucleotides) under Equus caballus (horse). RNAcentral's name for it is "lncRNA (ENSECAG00000053718.1)". Lineage: Eukaryota; Metazoa; Chordata; Mammalia; Perissodactyla; Equidae. The record is from RNAcentral.
GCAAAUGCUGUUCUACUAAAUUGAAGUCAUUUGAAAAUGGCUGUUUGGGUCAGGGAAAGACCCUCAACCAUUUCCCUGCUGAUCUGCACCUGAACCCAACGGUGAAGAGAAAGAGACAGAGAUAGUGAAGUAAACAGAAGCCUGUUAAUUACUUUUUAAAGCUGGUGAGAAUGUUGUUGACCGGUUGCAGCUGAAAAGCAAUAAGAUCUGUGGAUAAUCAUCCUUUAUCUCCUUCUGGCCUCAUAAGCACAGAUACUUGAGAAGGGUCUGUGAUAUUAGUUAACACUCUAAAUUUAUCACAUAUUCACGUUAAGAAGAGUUUAAUGCAUUUUUUUCAGUGUGACAUUGUGAUGGGAUUCAUAAUAAGAAAUAUGUAUUUGAGCUUCGACCUGGUUCCUGGCACAGAGCUCCUAAAACCCUUGGAAUUUCUUAAGAGAUGAGAGCGACAAAGGUGUCUUGUUAUGCUAAUGAGGUGACUUUUGGAAGCUUCUAAGUAUGGGGGGAGUGAUUAGAGAAUUGAAACUUUGAUUCUGACACCCUGACCUUCAGGAAGGAGAGAGGGGUUGGAGGUUGAGUCAAUCACCAAUGGCCAAAGAGUCAAGUAAUCACACCUGUGUGAUGAAGCCUGCAUAAAAACCCAAAAGGACAGUGUUUAGAGAACGUCCUGGUUUGUGGAUAUGCGGAGGUGCUGGGAGACUGGUGCUCCGGGAUAGGGCUUGGAAGCUCCAUGUGCCUUUCCACAUACCUUGCCCUACAAAUCUCUUCCAUGUGGAUGUUCAUCUGUAUCCUGUAUCAUAUCCUUUUAUAACAAACUGCUGAAGUCAAGAAACUGGGCCACAGCCAAGCACACAUGCCUGAUGAGCGACAGAGGUGAUGCCAUCUGACUGCAGAGCGCAAGAGCCAAACCUUUGCACUAGUCACCCUCCUGACUCCAGGAGCAAACUAUGGCAUGCUCCUUUUUAAAGAAAGUAUGAGACUUUUCAGGAGGUAUUUUUCCUGGAUAUAUAAAUCAAUUCCAUUCAUAGCAAAGUGGCUUCAGAGAUGACUGCAAAGUAAAUUUUCCAUCACCCAAGCCUCUCCUUCCUUGACGCAUUUUCGGAUGGAAUGGUCUGUGCACAUCUAUCAAGUCCAUUUGGUCUAAUGCGCCAUUUAAGGCCAGUGUUUCCUUAUUGAUUUUCUGUCUGGAUGAUCUAUCCAUUGAGCUCAGUCUCUUUCAUGUCCCUUCUCUUAAUGAAACAUGUCUACUGUUCCAAAAGCCACAUGGUUGCUUCAGAAUGUUCCUCCCUGGCUCCUCUCCAUACAAAGCUGCCACUGGGGUUUCGAUUUCCCCGUCCACUCAACCCUCCGUCUCAGCGGCAGGAAGACACGCCCUCUCCUCUGGCUCCAGCUUGCUGCCAAAGAAGCCCAUUUAACCAGGAAUUCUGCAUCGCAAUAACCUUGUCUAUUCUUCAGGACUAGGGGGAAGACUGUUUUUGGUUUCUAUGCACUGUGUAUACUUUAAUCGAUGUUUUCUUCUAACAACCAGGUGAUUCUGGCUCUUUGAAGAAUAUGUAAAAUUAAAGGGUUAAUUG